CGCCCAACAGCUAGCCCCCUAACACAACAACAACCAACCAUUAUUUAUAACCCCAAAUAUACUAGUAUAUGCAUUAAACAAACCAUUUUUCCCCUUUAGUAUGGGCGACAGAAAAAGGACCAAGGAGCCAUAGAAAAAGUACCGCAAGGGAACGCUGAAAGAGAAAUGAAACAACCCAGUAAAGCCAAAAGAAGCAGAGAUUUAACCUCGUACCUUUUGCAUCAUGAUUUAGCCAGACUAUUCCAAGCAAAGCGCACUUUAGUUUGAUACCCCGAAACUAGGGGAGCUACUCCAAGCCCGCCUAUCUAUUAGGGCAAACCCGUCUCUGUGGCAAAAGAGUGGGAUGAGCUUCGAGUAGAGGUGAUAAACCUACCGAACCUAGUUAUAGCUGGUUGCCCGGGAAUUGGAUAGAAGUUCAGCCUCCCAGAUUCUUUAAUCACCUCAGUACCACUUCACCUGAAUAUAAGGAGCUAGGAGAGUUAGUCAAGGGGGGUACAGCCCCUUUGAAACAAGACACAACUUUUCAGGCAGGAAAAAGAUCAUAAUCAAACCAAGGAUAAGUAUUUAGGUGGGCCUAAAAGCAGCCAUCCUAACAGAAAGCGUUAUAGCUCAAAUACACCAUUUUCCCUUCGAUCCUGAUAAUUAUUUCUUAAUCCCCCACUACUACCGGGCCGUCCCAUGCCUACCAUGGGAGCGACCCUGCUAAUAUGAGUAAUAAGAGGGCCCCGCCCCUCUCCCAGCACAUGUGUACUUCGGAACGAACCCCCACCGAACAUUAACGUCCCCAAACUAAAAGAGGGCCCUGAACAACAACCCAAGACAACUAGAAAAAAAUUCAAACACUUAAACGUUAACCCUACACAGGCGUGCCUCCGAGGAAAGACUAAAUGAAAGAGAAGGAACUCGGCAAACAAAUGAAGCCUCGCCUGUUUACCAAAAACAUCGCCUCUUGCAAAGCUAAAGAAUAAGAGGUCCCGCCUGCCCUGUGACUAUUAGUUUAACGGCCGCGGUAUUUUGACCGUGCAAAGGUAGCGCAAUCACUUGUCUUUUAAAUGAAGACCUGUAUGAAUGGCACAACGAGGGCUUAACUGUCUCCUCUUUCAAGUCAAUGAAAUUGAUCUCCCCGUGCAGAAGCGGGGAUAAAACCAUAAGACGAGAAGACCCUAUGGAGCUUUAGACACCAAAGAAGAUCCUGUCAAAUAUUCCUAUAUAAAGGCCUGAACCAAUGGAAACCUUCCCUAAUGUCUUUGGUUGGGGCGACCACGGGGAAAAAAAUAACCCCCGCGUGGACUGGGAGCACCUCUACUCCUACAGCCAAGAGCUACAGCUCAAAUCAACAGAAAUUCUGACCUAUAAGAUCCGGCAAUGCCGAUCAACGGACCGAGUUACCCUAGGGAUAACAGCGCAAUCCCCUUUUAGAGCCCAUAUCGACAAGGGGGUUUACGACCUCGAUGUUGGAUCAGGACAUCCUAAUGGUGCAGCCGCUAUUAAGGGUCCGUUUGUUCAACGGUUAAAGUCCUACGUGAUCUGAGUUCAGACCGGAGUAAUCCAGGUCAGUUUCUAUCUAUGACAUGUUCUUUUCUAGUACGAAAGGACCGAAAAGAAGGGGCCCCUGCUCUAAGUAUGCCCCACCCUCACCUAAUGAAAACAACUAAAUUAGGUAAGAGAACAUGUCUUACCUGCCUGAGAAAACAGCCU
RNAcentral lists this ribosomal RNA (1698 nucleotides) under Pontinus nematophthalmus. RNAcentral describes it as "16S ribosomal RNA". It matches the Rfam family "Bacterial large subunit ribosomal RNA". The record is from RNAcentral. Lineage: Eukaryota; Metazoa; Chordata; Actinopteri; Perciformes; Scorpaenidae.